GUCUAAGGCCAUGCCACCCUAAACACAGCCGAUCUUGUCUGAUCUCGGAAGCUAAGCAAGGUCAGGCCUGGUUCGUACUUGGAUGAGAGACCACCUAGGAAGACUGGGUGCUACAGGAG
This 119-nucleotide ribosomal RNA is filed under the name Pteropus alecto (black flying fox). The record is from RNAcentral. Lineage: Eukaryota; Metazoa; Chordata; Mammalia; Chiroptera; Pteropodidae.